UCCAGAUGUGGUAACAGCCAGGACGU
This 26-nucleotide non-coding RNA is filed under the name Rattus norvegicus (Norway rat). Lineage: Eukaryota; Metazoa; Chordata; Mammalia; Rodentia; Muridae. The record is from RNAcentral.